GGGUUCGGGGAGCCCUACGCGGGGUGGGGCGGCUGCGGGGAGGAACUGGGUUCGGGGAGCCCUGGGCGGGGUGGGGCGGCUGCGGGGAGGAACUGGGUUCGGGGAGCCCUGGGCGGGGCGGCUGUGGGGAGGAACUGGGUUCGGGGAGCCCUGGGCGGGGCGACUGUGGGGAGGAGUUGGGUUCGGGGAGCCCUGGGCAGGGUGGGGCGGCUGCGGGGAGGAACUGGGUUCGGGGAGCCCUGGGCGGGACGGCUGCGGGGAGGAAGAUGAUGUGCAGGGGACCAGAGGCUCUGCACUGCUCCUAUGACAGCUCAUCUGUAAUCAGAAAAAAAUAAUAAUACAGAAUGCUGACUCCUCCCUGAGACAGAUCAGGGAACUUAGCACUUUAAUCCCUCCCUUCUGAGCGCUCGGUGUGCAUUAGACUAUAGCUGUUUCAUUGACGUGUCAUUUUGCAUCCAGUGUCCUUGAUGUGGGUUUUAGAGACUUAGCAGAAAAUUCGACACAAGCAAGAACUUGAUUUUUUAAGGAAAAUCUUACAUUUUGAGGACAUUUUGACAAGUAGGGGAAGGGAGGGCUUCUGUUCUGUUUUGUUUUGUUAGCUAAACCUGAAGUAUUAAUUCCACAAAGACACUGUCCCUCAGGACCACUCAGGUACAGCUCUGCCAGGGACAGAGUCCUGCUAGUGGGAGGUCUCAGGUGGGGCGGCGUGUUCUGUGCCACGAGGCAGCGGCAGGUCCAGAUGGAUGUCCUCACCACCUUCCUCAGCUCUCAUCACCUGGUCACAGGCCAGGCCCACCCCUUCCCAGCAAGGGACGCCAAAGAACUGCAGUUUUGAUUCUGAGUCUUAAUUUAAACUUUUCAUCAUCUUUUCCUAUUUUUGAGAAAUUUUUGUAAUUAAAAGCAAUUAUUUUAAAAUGCGCAAGCCAGUAUCUCACAAGGCAUGGAUUUCUGCGGAAUUUAUUUUUAUUCAAAUAACUAUGUAUCUCCGGGCUGUGGAAUCGCGGCUUUCUUCGUGAAGACAGUGCCUCUCCUUGUAAUCUCACACAGGUACACUGAGGAGGGGACGGCUCCGUCUUCACAUUGUGCGGAGAUCUGAGGAUGGGAUUAGCGAAGCUGUGGAGAGGGCACAUCCGGAUCUGCCCGUGUCUCAAAACAAACACAUGCACAGUGGCUCUUUUUCCUUCUCAAAUACUUUACCCCGGAAGCAGGUGGUCUGCCCCAGGCGUAGAGAAGGAAAACUGGCCAUCUUUCCCACCUCUAAAUUCUGUGAAAUUAUACAGUCGGUCGAAAGAUUCCUUUUUGUCAGCCCCACACCGUGUAAGUGGAGAGGGCAUUGUGUUCCGUGUCUGUCCAGUUCACAGCGUCUCUGCCCCUUAGCGUGCUUUGUGACAGUCUCCCUGGCUGAGGAGUGGGUGCGCCCAGCCUCAAGGCCGGCGGGCUGCUCGGGGCCUUCCAUGUGAGUUCUAGUGUUCAGCUGGUGCCAGGGAAUAGAAUUAGAGAAACCUCUGACCCACCGGGUGCCAGGGAGCAGUGGAGGUGGAUGGCAGGUCCGACUCGACCAUGACUUUUAGUUGUGAGGGUGUGUUGGCUUUUUGAGUCUCGUGUGAAAAUCCUCCUGUCUCUGGCAGCACCGUCUGCACUUUCUUGUUUACUGCCUGAAGGGACGAGUGCCAAGCCUCAAGAACACUUCUUUUGGCCACAGCAUAAGCUAAUGGUGUGUAAGGAACUGAUGGGCCAUUAAACAUGAACUGAACGGUUAAAAGCACAGUCUAUGGAACGCUAAUGGAGUCAGCCCCUAAAGCUGUUUGCUUUUUCAGGCUUUGGGUUACAUGCUUUUAAUUUGAUUUUAGAAUCUGGACACUUUCUAUGAAUGUAAUUCGGCCAAGAAACGUGUUGCUAAGAUGCAAUCCUCAGUGUUCUCUGUAUGUAAAUCUGUGUAUACACCACACGUUACAACUGCAUGAGCUUCCUCUCGCACCGAGACCAGCCGGAACUGAGCAUGAGACGCUGUCAAAUACAGACAAAGGAUAUGAGAUGUUCUCAAUAAAAAGAAAAUGUUUCACUCCUCUGGUGUUGCUGAGACUUUCUUUUCCUUUCAAAUUAUGUCUGCCUUCAGCUCCACUAGCAGGCCUGGGGAUGGAUGCCCACGUGCAUAACCUGAAAAGGUGGCUGAGUCCUGCCCAACAGUUGCAGCACUGACUCCACCUCGUCUUGCACCUGCUGUGCUUGCACCAGUGCUACUUGCAUUUCCCCAACUUGGGACAGUCUCCCCUCAGUCCCCACCCCUGUUAGAUUCUUGACUUCUUCACCGUCUUCCUGGAGAGCAUGUUGGCACCUCUCCUAUAUAUAAGGUGGUGUAGAGGAAAAGUAUGCAGCUGCCCCGCUCUCAUCCUGCAUAUAAAAUGGAUGACAACACAUGCCCAUGUUACUCGUUACCCUCACGUUACUUGCGGAUAGAACACAGGAAGAACCUACACACUCAACAAGAGGCAACGGUGACACGGGUGCUGGGGUGCAGUGAAAAAAAGCAGGUGCUAAGUGCCACCAUAGAACUAUGGUAUUUCUAGUUAUAACACUGGAAGGACAGUCACAAUAAAUUAAGUGGAAAGUUGGCAGCUAAGCGGCAUUUCUGUGUCGUGGCUGUGACAGUGUAUAUAUGCUUCAUGUACUGUACAAGCACAGGUGGGCCAGGCUGGCUAAGGAGGGAGUCUGGCCGUGGUCUGUGAACAUGGAAUUUGGGAUGGUUUUGAUUUUGUGUUCCUUUUUAAAAAGCAUAUCUAUUUGUCUCAUGUUUCUACAAUUAAAUGAACAAUUUAGGAAAAUAUUUUGAAAAGUCAAAAGCACCAUACAAAUAAUAAAAACAGCACUAUUACAGACAGAUAACUUGAUUUUCUCAUUUGCAUCAAUUUUGAAACUAUUUCAUUUUCCCACAAUAAAAACGUUAAAAUAUGUUGCAGCAAAAACAAGCUUCAGAGAAAAGAACGAAGGGAACCCUCUCCCUGACGAGUAAAUCCUUUGAACAGCGAUUCUUCGGGAGCUGCCUCGGGGGCCACACCGGAUGGAAUACUCGGACUCAUUAUUCUAUCAUGGAAUUGGGGAAAUGUCCCGAAUUUGACCAAACCUAGAAAGUGAUGGAGGAAGAUGCAGAUCAAACUGAAAAUGUAGCUGUUACAUUGUGAAUGGCACAGAAAAUUGAAGAAAUUGUCUCACAGCCUCUGGAAACUGUUACCUACUUAAGCAAAGAAGUGACUCAGUCACUGAACGAGUGAAGCUCUGACAUCGGUCCUGCUGCUUCGCCUUUGUCUGACUCAUCAGUGAAAACCUCCCCAGCAUUCUUGUCAGAACCACACUCAUUCAUCAGCUGCAACCCUGUGUUGGCUUCAGAUGUAGGGCUCAGCAAGACUCAGUGAAAUCAUUCCAUAAAAACUGGCUCUGUGGGAUUUACAACAGUACUGUAUAUUUUAUGCAUGUUUUUAAGUUGCUGCUCCUUUUCUAUCUGUAACAUGUACAGUAAGCUUAUGUACACACACAUGUGCAUACACUGGAGCAGGGUAGCCUGUUUAGCAGGUACUAGCACACCACUGGGUCCCAGAUGUCCCUGGGAGCAGAUCAAGGCAGUGCAAAGGCCCUGUGCUGGUGAGGGACUGAGAGUUGGUGGGAACUAAUCAGCCUCUGGCAGGUGCCUCCCCCAUCCCACCCUCCAGGACUGGUGAGAUUGGUCUGUCUAGUACAGCUGCAAGAGAAAGAACUGUGAGGCCAGACCUGAGGGAUGAGGAGUGAGUGUGGGUUUCUACUAGCCCACCUCCCACUAUGCCCUCAUCCCGCCUUCGGGCCAAGCAGCCAGUGCCUCCAGGGGAAAAUGACCUCAUAAGGAGAAAUGAGAAAUCUGAAGAGCACAACUACAUCAAGCUCAAAAUGGUAAUACUGCACAGAGAUUCUAUUACAAUAGAUUCUAGCAUUUUAGAACACAGUCCAGGAAUUAAACAGCCUAAAAGAGAUCAGAAAACAGAACCAAGCAGAAUUUGAAGGAGUAAACCCAACAGAUGAGCUAAAUAAUGGAAUGAACUUCCCAUUGGAAAACCACAUGGAAAAGGAGAGGGUAACAAAAAAGAAAAUAUAGAAAUACUAAAAUAUUUGGCUUAUAGAAGUGCUAACAUCUGGCUAAUAUGAUGUUCAUGGACUUCGUCACACCCACAAACUGAAGGCAUCACAGAGGAAAGGAUGUGUCUGAGAUGGCCUUAAAACAGCCACAGAGGCCAGGCAAGGUGGCUCACACCUGUAAUCCCAGCACUUUGGGAGGCCAAGGCAGGCAGAUCAUGAGGUCAGGCAUUCAAGACCAGCCUGGCCAAUAUGGUGAAACCCUGUCUCUACUGAAAAUACAAAAAUUAGCUGGGCGUGGUGGCAUGCGCCUGUAGUCCCAGCUACUCAAGAGGCUGAGGCAGGAGGAAUCACUUGAACCCAGGAGGCGUAGGUUGCAGUGAGUCGAGACCACGCCACUGUAGUCCAGUCUGGGCAACUGAGCGAGCCUCCGUCUCAAAAAAACAACAACAAAAAACACAGGGACAGGGAGCUCCAUUAAUGGAGAAGACAAGAAGAUCCGGAUGAAACAAUACCAGCCAAGUGUUGGUAAUUGUAUGUUUGCAAAUGUUCAUAAGAUUUUAAAAGUGCUAGCACAGACUUUUUUAAAUGCCAUUUAUUUGGUACUCUUAAGUACUCAUGGGAUUUUUUUCACUCAAAAGCAACAACUUUUAGUGCUGUAAAAUGUAAAUUGUCCUAAUUAAAGAAAAUAA
This is a non-coding RNA of Macaca mulatta (Rhesus monkey), 4790 nucleotides long. Lineage: Eukaryota; Metazoa; Chordata; Mammalia; Primates; Cercopithecidae. The record is from RefSeq and is a predicted model, not a curated record.